Molecule: transfer RNA, 83 nt
Organism: Gregarina niphandrodes
Lineage: Eukaryota; Apicomplexa; Conoidasida; Eugregarinorida; Gregarinidae
Rfam family: tRNA
About the family: Transfer RNA (tRNA) molecules are approximately 80 nucleotides in length. Their secondary structure includes four short double-helical elements and three loops (D, anti-codon, and T loops).
Source: Rfam
GGCAAGGUGGCCGAGCGGCGAAGGCGGCGGCCUGCUAACCCGUUGGGAUGUUACCGCGUUGAGUUGGAAUCUCGGCCUUGUCG